CCCUUAGAUGUCCUGGGCUGCACGCGCGCUACACUGAUGUGUCCAGUAAGCACCUAACCUCUUCCGAAAGGAACGGGUAACCUUUGCAAAGCACAUCGUGAUGGGGAUAGAUUAUUGCAAUUAUUAGUCUUGAACGAGGAAUUCCUAGUAAGCACAAGUCAUCAGCUUGUGUUGAUUACGUCCCUGCCCUUUGUACACACCGCCCGUCGCUCCUACCGAUUGAAUGUUCCGGUGAGCUCUUCGGACUGCGCGGUCUGCAGUUUCUGCGUUCCGUGCGGAAAGUUGUGCAAACCUUAACAUUUAGAGGAAGGAGAAGUCGUAACG
RNAcentral lists this ribosomal RNA (324 nucleotides) under uncultured eukaryote. Its description in RNAcentral is "partial 18S ribosomal RNA". It matches the Rfam family "Eukaryotic small subunit ribosomal RNA", at positions 1470 to 1796 of the family's 1831-position model. The record is from RNAcentral.